AGCUUCAAAUCACUUCGAUGCCUUGCAGAAACGGCUAAUUUUUUGGUGCAUGCUUGUAUUUCCUUUCCAUGGGAAGUUUUCAGCCUUCUGAUAUUUGCAGGUAGUUUAGUUGAGUGUAGUGGUUUCUUCCGUAUCUGCCACUUCACAGUUGUAGCCAAUUUUGAAUUUUCUCCUGAUGAAGUUACAGAUGUUUUGGACAUGUGAGUCCUCGCCUUUGUUUUACAGUUGAGUUCCGCACCAUCUUUGUUAGCGUCAGAAGAACCUGUUGGAACACUCACAUGACGUGGCAAGACCUUGGAGUCACCCAUUUCAAUACCUAAAUUGCCAGUUGAGUUCCUUCUCAAAUAACUGAGUUCAUGCUCAAUUUUCUCCAAGUUUGCAGGUUUUCCGACAACCUUCUUGUUGCCCAACUUAGAAGACCCAGUGUUCUUGUCCAUCCUGCUUCCUUUGUUUGGUGUGCCGGUUGCACCAUCCAACGGAGAAUUCUGAGCAAUUGAUGAUCCCCCUGGUAUGAUAGUGUCGCUGUAUCCUCUUAUCCUCAGCUUAUAGAUUCCGGACAUAGAAUUAGCAUUUUCCUGCAACGACUUCAUCUUCAAACCGUUCCGUUGUUUUACAGAAACAGCUAAUCUUUUGGCGUAUGCUGGGAUCUCCUGUCUCUGGGAUUUACCAGUUGUACGCCUCUUGAAAUUCACAGGUAGCUUACUCGAGCGUAGUGGUUUCUUCCUUAUCUGCACCUGUACAGUUGUAGUCAAUUCUGGUAUUUUUUCUGAUGCUACUACUGUUCUACUCAGCAGGGAAGUCCUUGCUAUUGUUGUUUGAUCAUCACGUUCAGCACCUUUGCAAGCGUCAUGGCAAGAACCUUUUGGAUCGCUCAGGUAACGUGACAAGACCUUGGAUUUAGCAAUUUGAAAGCCAAAGCUGCCAGUUGAGUUCCUUCUCAAAAAGCGAGCAUCACGCUCAAUUCUCUCCAGAUGUGCAGGUAUGCCAACAACCAUCUCAGCCAUUUUGAGUUUGAGCAAUGAAACUAGUACCACUGCAGAACUUAUCAGAAGCAGAGACCCUUUGAAACCUCGACCUCACAAAUGCAGCAUCCUAGUGUGGAAAAAAUAACAAGGACCUGUGAGAGAAUUGAUACUGAUAAAAAAAGCAA
Molecule: long non-coding RNA, 1150 nt
Filed under: Solanum tuberosum (potato)
Lineage: Eukaryota; Viridiplantae; Streptophyta; Magnoliopsida; Solanales; Solanaceae
Description: long non-coding RNA (STUB_LNC004156)
Source: RNAcentral